This 498-nucleotide ribosomal RNA is filed under the name uncultured bacterium. RNAcentral describes it as "partial 16S ribosomal RNA". It matches the Rfam family "Bacterial small subunit ribosomal RNA", at positions 27 to 507 of the family's 1533-position model. The record is from RNAcentral.
GGACGAACGCUGGCGGCGUGCCUACUACAUGCAAGUAGAACGCUGAAGAGAGGAGCUUACUCUUCUUGGAUGAGUUGCGAACGGGUGAGUAACGCGUAGGUAACCUGCCUUGUAGCGGGGGAUAACUAUUGGAAACGAUAGCUAAUACCGCAUAACAAUGGAUGACACAUGUCAUUUAUUUGAAAGGGGCAAUUGCUCCACUACAAGAUGGACCUGCGUUGUAUUAGCUAGUAGGUGAGGUAAUGGCUCACCUAGGCGACGAUACAUAGCCGACCUGAGAGGGUGAUCGGCCACACUGGGACUGAGACACGGCCCAGACUCCUACGGGAGGCAGCAGUAGGGAAUCUUCGGCAAUAGGGGCAACCCUGACCGAGCAACGCCGCGUGAGUGAAGAAGGUUUUCGGAUCGUAAAGCUCUGUUGUAAGUCAAGAACGGGUGUGAGAGUGGAAAGUUCACACUGUGACGGUAGCUUACCAGAAAGGGACGGCUAACUACGUG